RNAcentral lists this ribosomal RNA (377 nucleotides) under uncultured bacterium. RNAcentral's name for it is "bacterial SSU rRNA". It matches the Rfam family "Bacterial small subunit ribosomal RNA", at positions 29 to 430 of the family's 1533-position model. The record is from RNAcentral.
AACGAACGCUGGCGGCAGGCUUAACACAUGCAAGUCGAACGGGCGUAGCAAUACGUCAGUGGCAGACGGGUGAGUAACACGUGGGAACCUUCCUAGGGGUACGGAACAACUCAGGGAAACUUGAGCUAAUACCGUAUACGUCCGUGAGGAGAAAGAUUUAUCGCCCUUAGACGGGCCCGCGUCGGAUUAGCUAGUUGGUGGGGUAACGGCCUACCAAGGCGACGAUCCGUAGCUGAUCUGAGAGGAUGAUCGGCCACACUGGGACUGAGACACGGCCCAGACUCCUACGGGAGGCAGCAGUGGGGAAUCUUGGACAAUGGGCGCAAGCCUGAUCCAGCCAUGCCGCGUGAGUGAAGAAGGCCUUCGGGUUGGUUAAA